This 3100-nucleotide long non-coding RNA is filed under the name Homo sapiens (human). Its description in RNAcentral is "long independently transcribed non-coding RNA 3236 (LINC03236)". The record is from RNAcentral. Lineage: Eukaryota; Metazoa; Chordata; Mammalia; Primates; Hominidae.
ACUCCGUGACUUCCUGGAAGGGGAGAGGUACUGAGGUUGAGUCUAUCCCCAAUGGCCAAUGAUGUCAUCAAUCAUGCCUAAAUAAUGAAGCCUCCAUAAAAACUCAAAAGGAUGGGAUUUGGAGAACUUCUGGAAUGCUGAGCAUGUGGAGGUGCCUGGAGAGGGCAUGGAAGCUCCACAUGCCUGCCCACAUACUUUGCACUGUGCAUCCCUUCCAUCUGGCUGUUCAUCUGUAUCCUUUGUAAUAUCCUUUAUAAUAAAUAGGUAUUAUGGUUUGGAUGUAUGUGUCCCUCCAAAAUUCAUAUGCUGGAACUUAAACUCUAACGUAAUAGUGUUAAAAGGUGGGAUCUUUGGUGAAGUGAUUAAGUCAAGAGGGUUGUACCCUUAUGAAUGGGAUUAAUGCCCUUAUAAAAGAAAAUGAAGGGAGUGCCCAGCCCUUUCAGCCCCUUCUACCAUGUGAGGAUGCAGCAAGAAAAUGCCAUGUUGGAAGGAGAGAGUAGCCCUCACCAGACACUGAAUCUGCUGGUGCCUUGAUCUUGAACUUCCCAGUCUCUAGAACUGUAAAAAAAAAAGUGUUUAUUAUUUAUAAAUUACCCAAUCUAAGGUAUCUUUUAUAGCAGCCCUAACAGACUGAGACAAUAAGUAAAUAUAAGUGUUUUUCCCCGAGUUCUGUGAGUCACUCUAGUUAACUAAUCGAAUCCAGGGAAAGGGCAGUGAGAACCCCCAAUUUAUAUAAAGCCAGUUGGUCAGAAAUACAGGUCACAACCUGGGACUUGUGCUUGGCAUCUGAAGUGUGGGGCAGUCUUGUGGGGCUAAGCUGUUGGAUCUGAUGCUAACUCUGGAUAGACAGUGUCAGAGUUGAAUUAUAGAACAUCCAGCUGGUGUCCACUGGAAAACUGAUUCUGGCUGGUGGGGAGAAAUCCCUACAUAUUUUGGUGACCAGAGGGGAAGUAUUCUGCAAUGACGAUGAUAGAAGGAAAAGCAGUUUGGUUUUUUUUCCUUGGGACAUAUCACAUAAUGGUAAGGGCUCAUGAUCUGGAGCAGACUACCUGAGUUCAAAUCCCAGCUUCACCACUAACCAGUUAUGUAAUUUGUUGAGCACUUAUUAUCUGCCAGGCACUGUGCUAAGUGCCUUGCAUGUAUUAAUAUUAUCUCAUGAGUAAAGAGACACAGAGAGGUUGAGUAUCUUAUCCUAGAUCUCACAGAAGAGCAGGGAUCUUAACACAGGCAUCUGAUUUCAGAGCCCACAUUCUUAACCACUGCACUGAAGUACUUUUUUUUUUUUUUUUUUUUGAGACGGAGUGUCGCUCUGUCGCCCAGGCUGGAGUGCAGUGGCGGGAUCUCAGCUCACUGCAAACUCCGCCUCCCGGGUUCACGCCAUUCUCCCGCCUCAGCCUCCCGGGUAGCUAGGACUAGAGGCUCCUGCCACAACACUCGGCUAAUUUUUUGUAUUUUUAGUAGAGAUGGGGUUUCACUGUGUUAGCCAGGAUGUUCUCGAUCUCCUGACCUCGUGAUCCGCCCGCCUCGGCCUCCCAAAGUGCUGGGAUUACAGGCGUGAGCCACCGCGCCCGGCCCCAGUACAAUUCUUUUACAACCAUUGUUUUAAGCUAUAUACAUCUCUAUUAGUGAGGGUUCUACAGAGAAACAAAACUAAUAGGGUACAAAUUCACAUAGAAAGAGAUUUAUGUUAAGAAACUGGCUAGUGUAAUUAAGCUGGCAAGUUUGAAAUCUGCAAGGUGGACCAUCAGGCUGGAGACCCAGGAAAAGCUGAUAUUGCAGUUCACGUCCAAAGGCCAUGGCAGAAUUCCCUCUCGCUUGGGGGAGGUCAAUUUUUUGUUCUAUUUAGGCCUUCAGCUGAUUGGAUAAGGCCCACCGAAAUUUGGGAGGGCAACCUGCUUGACUCAAAGUCCCCCAAUUUAAAUGUUAAUAUUGGCCUAGCAUGGUGGCUCACGCCUGUAAUCCCAGCACUUCAGGAGGCUGAGGCAGGCUGAGGUCAGGAGUUCAAGACCAGCCAAGCCAACAUACAGUGAAACCCUGUCUCUACUAAAAAUACAAAAAUUAGCUAGGCGUGGUGGCACACACCUGUGGUCUCAGCUACUUGGGAAGCUGAGGCAGGAGAAUCACUUGAACCCAGGAGGCAGAGGUUGCAGUGAGCCAAGAUCACGACACUGCACUCUAGCCUGGUUGACAGAGCGAGAUUCUGUCUCUCAAAAUAAAUAAAUAUAUAAAUGUUUAUCUUAUCCAAAAACAGCCUCACAGAAACACCCAGAAUAAUGUUUGACCAGGUAUCUGGGCACUGUGGCCCAGCGAAGUUGGCACAUAAAAUUAACUAUCACAGCUUCCAUCCAUCAAAAUAGGUAAAAAGACUCAGAGAAGGUGGUAAUGGGGAGACAGGGAAAUGUUUGGACAUGGAGUAGCCCAGCAGGACCAGCCUGAGAGGCCCCUAUUACAUGGUGAUGGCCAGGGACCCACUAAACACACCAACACCCAGUGAAAGCAACAACAAUAGGGGUGGGGGUAGAAUAGCAGACUCAUUUGGCCCACACACUCUCUCAGGCCCUUCUUACUAAACCUCCUAUCUGUAGGGAUAGUGUGAAAGGAUUUGGCAGGGUCCUGUAUGAGAAACCUCACAAAGUUUGGAUUGUCUUUUACAACCAUGAGCUGAAGGCCCAUUUGGUCAGGGACUCUUCAGUUUGGGAUGUGACACUCUUGGAUUAGGGGGAUCUGAAGAUCUUCUGUAAAGCACUACUUGGUUUCCAUCAAGCUGUGGAGGGAGUGCUCUUGGACACUAAAAAAAAAAAAAACACCUUCUCACUUCCUCAUUUGGGACUGUCAAGCCAAGAAUGCAAGGAGAGGUAUACAGAAAACACCUCAUUUGGAGUUAUUUACUUUAACUGCUCAGCAUUGUGAGAACAAGCUCAUUCUUGUACCUUUCCUCCGUGGAUUUGGUGAUCACAACAAGGGACUUAUCCAUCAUUGGAGUGGCCACAAUCUGAACAAGUUCCACCCACUGCCUGAGAGUCCUGCCCUGAAUUUUAGACUUUGAUCAUAAAAAAAUGGAUAAUAUAAUUUAACAGUGAAUAAAUUAGAUAUCAAUGAA